UCAAACCCCUAAAGGCCCUUUUAAGGGCCCCCAGAACGUCAGGAAAAGAGCCAACACUUCGUAUUUGCUGUGUGAAUGUGGGACCUAGGUGCAGAUAGGAGGUGACCAAGUUCAGACGCCGAAUGAAGGAGGCAAAGCGUGGGCGAAGUCGAAGGCGGGGCCUAGCUCGCGGCCGCUGCCCUACCUGGGACGAGCUGCACAGUUUGCUGCACCGAGCGGGACAAUGAACUUGCUCAACUACCUGGAAACAGGUAACAUGUAUCGUUAGGUUCCAGCAACCUCGAAAUCUUUAACUGAAGGAGCUUGGCCAACCUUCUCAUUUCAAUUUGGAACAUUUGUGGAAUACCUAUGAAGUUCCAGAUUCAGUCCUAUCAAAAUGGAAGCCAGCCACUCAGUCCAGCACAGCAAGAUCUUUGGAUCCCAAAAAAGCAGUGGGUGGAUCUCCAGAAACUGACUUUGACAAGGGCUCCUGUAUUCAAAUAUGCUGGAAGCUCAUCCACCCGUGAUUUGGCAUCGUUCACUCUGUAG
RNAcentral lists this long non-coding RNA (528 nucleotides) under Ursus maritimus (polar bear). Its description in RNAcentral is "lncRNA (ENSUMAG00000002606.1)". The stretch from base 9 to 53 matches the Rfam family "Histone 3' UTR stem-loop". Lineage: Eukaryota; Metazoa; Chordata; Mammalia; Carnivora; Ursidae. The record is from RNAcentral.